UACGUAGGGUGCGAGCGUUAAUCGGAAUUACUGGGCGUAGAGCGUGCGCAGGUGGUUCGUCAAGUCUGAUGUGAAAGCCCCGGGCUCAACCUGGGAAUGGCAUUGGAAACUAGCGGGCUUGAGUGUGGCAGAGGGGGGUGGAAUUCCACGUGUAGCAGUGAAAUGCGUAGAGAUGUGGAGGAACACCGAUGGCGAAGGCAGCCCCCUGGGCUAACACUGACGCUCAUGCACGAAAGCGUGGGGAGCAAACAGG
Molecule: ribosomal RNA, 253 nt
Filed under: uncultured bacterium
Lineage: Bacteria
Description: partial 16S ribosomal RNA
Rfam family: Bacterial small subunit ribosomal RNA
Source: RNAcentral